Molecule: long non-coding RNA, 3536 nt
Organism: Lagenorhynchus albirostris (white-beaked dolphin)
Lineage: Eukaryota; Metazoa; Chordata; Mammalia; Artiodactyla; Delphinidae
Exons: 4
Source: RefSeq, a predicted model, not a curated record
CACGGUCACGGCUGCUGCCGUUGCCGCCGCCGCCGCCCGGGGCUCCCUCCCGCCUGCGCCGGGAUACCCUCCUCUCUCAGCUCCGCCGCACUCGAGCCGCCGGCUCCUCCGCGGCGGGUUUUAUUCGGCGCCGGCGGAAGGUUCCGCAAGGAGACAGUGACGCCACAAAGGCCCAGAACCUUCGCGGAGGUUCCGGCGGCGCCUGGAGCUGACUGGCUGGGGCGCUGCGGUGGGUUAGCGGCCCGGACCCCCGACGCCCCGGCCCGGCGCGACCUCCCGGCUCACCCGGUCGCCUGUUCCUCCGGCCUGCAGUCUGAGUACCCGGAGCUCCAGUUCUGACUGCCGCCCCGGGCCAUGUUGGGGGUCUUGGAAGACGGCUUCGGAGUGGAGGGCGCCUUCCGACGGCCGCCCCGCCACCCCGGGGCCGUCCCUUUUCCCUUGCGUGGGUCCGUGGGUCCGGCUGGCUCAAAGAUCAGGUGGCCUGGAGGGCAGCGUCGGCGGGAACCCUGCCCCGAGGGGUUGGACUGGGAGGGCUGCGCCCUGCUGUCCCCACCCGGCCUCUCCCUGGGGGUGUGGCCGCCCUCUGUUUGGUUAUGUCCCGGAUGCGCCCUGAGGCAUGCCUCGGAUUGUUGCGUUUUUGAGGGGUUUGGAGUGGGUAGGGGCCCUCUACUGUGCUGGAGUCGCAUUUCCUGAGGCCAUUUCCUGAAGCUGCUGGCGCCCCCCGGGGCAUCAUCAAGGCUGAGGUGAGCCUAAGCCUUCCAGAUACGUACAGUGGUGCUUUGCUGGCUCCAGCUGUGGACGGUGCUCUCUCAACUGCCCACAACUGGGAACCCUUGACGUCCCCCAGAUGUGGGGAGUGACGCCCGUUAGAUGUGAGCAGUGACGUCCCCCAGGUCUCCCAAAGCUCCCAGCAGGUGCCUGGUAACAAGGAUCACCACCCACUGCAGGAACGUGGGCGUGGGAAGCAGCACUAUCAGAGAACUGCAGGCCUUCUUGCUCCAGCCCAGCCUUGACUUCUGCCGAUGGUACACUGCCAGGGAGGGUUGGCCACUGCUCACCUGUCUGGGAUCCCUUGGCCUCGUUUUGGGUCCUGUGGCUGAGGCAAGUACUAUCCCCUCCUCCACGUGUUCAGUGGGGGUGAGAAAUGACUUUUAACUUGCAAGAGAAAGUAAGCUGCUCAUUUCUGUUCUUGGAGACAUUGCUUUUUCCCUCUCAAUUAGACCUCUGAAGAGCAGUAACCUUUGGCAGAGAACUCAGAGCUAGAGGUCAACAAACUUGGUUCCAUCCCCAGACGUUAUUAACUAUAUGAGCCUUAGCCUCUCUGAGCUUGUUUCCUCAUCAGCAGGACACGGUCAUUGCCGCCUGCCUGCCUGCCUUCCUCACAGGGCUCUUGCAAGGAUCACAUGGGAUGAUCACUGUGAACGCUUCUAGCACACAGUGAUCAUCCAAAUCUCGAACCUGGCUGUUCAUAGGAAUCACCUGGGAGCUUCUAAAAAUCCCAGUGUCCAGGCUGCACCCCAGUCCAAUUGCACCAGCACUUCUGGGGGUGGAACCCAAGCAUCAGUACUUUUAAAGGUCCCCAGGUGAUUCCACUGAGCAGCCAGAGCUGAGAACCACUGCCCUGCACCACACAUUUAUCCAGACUCAAUAGUCUGGACCAGUGACACUGGCAGGAAGGGCAUUUGUGGGUGGUCAGAGCCUAUAGGCACAGAAUGGGCCUAUGAACUCUGGAACCAGUGAGACCUAGGUUCCAGUUGCUACCUCUGGCUGCCUGACCUUGGGCAGGUGAUAUAACCUUUCUGAGCCUUAGAUUCCUCAACCUUUUUAUGGGGAAAAUAUUAAGAGUAUCUACCUCAUAAGCGCCUGAAGCACCUGGCUCAUAGUCUCAUCACAUGAUGAUGCAUUAUGUUCUUUUCACUUUUAUCUAAGCUGAAGAAGCUGACAAAGAUUCUCUCCUUUAUGAAAUUCUAGCCAGGCUCCUGUGAACCCUCUUCUCAACUAGGCCUCAGCCUUGGUCUGUAAAGACUUGAACAACCCCUAGCAUAGUUUCUAAUAGCUCAAGGCUGCCUCCCUAAGGUGGCUCUAACACCGCCCCCCCAAAGUGCCUGCCUGAGAAAAGGCUGCCAAAAAUUUUUACUGUUUGUUCCAGCCAACACCUGAGGACACCUGAGGACAGAGCCUCUGUCUCCCAGUCUCUGUGAGAAAGUAGAAUUCUAACUUCAAUAAUACCAGCUAGCAGACACCACUGGCCUAGUUGCAUUUACACUUGACCUUUGGUUAAAAAAAGUAGAUGGGGACUUCCCUGGAUCCAGUGGUUAAGACUUCACCUUCAUUGGAAGGCAGGGGGUGCGGGUUCAAUCCCUGGUUGGGGAGCUAAGAUCCACAUGCCUCACAGCCAAAAAACCAAAACUAAAAAAGAAGCAAAAAACUAAAAAUAGAACUACCAUAUGACCCAGCAAUCCUGCUACUGGGCACAUACCCAGAGAAAACCAUAAUUCAAAAAGACACAUGCGGGCUUCCCUGGUUGUGCACUGGUUAAGAAUCUGCCUGCCAAUGCAGGGGACACAGGUUCGAGCCCUGGUCUGGGAAGAUCCCACAUGCCGUGGAGCAACUAAGCCUGUGCACCGCAGCCACUGAGCCUGCGCUCUAGAGCCCGCAAGCCACAACUACUGAGCCCACGUGCCACAACUACUAAAGCCUGUGCACCUAGAGCCCGUGCUCUGGAACAAGACAAGCCACAGCAAUGAGAAGCCUGCGCACCGCAACGAAGAGUAGCCCCCGCUCACCACAACUAGAGAAAGCCCACGUGCAGCAACGAAGACCCAACGCAGCCAAAAAAAACCAGACACAUGCACCCCAGUGUUCAUUGCAGCACUAUUUACAAUAGCCAGGUCAUGGAAGCAACCUAAAUGCCCAUCGACAGACGAAUAGAUAAAGAAGAUACGGUACAUAUAUACAAUGGAAUAUUACUCAGCCAUAUAAAGGAACGAAGUUGGGUCAUUUGUAGAGACAUGGAUGGACCUAGAGACUGUCAUACAGAGUGAAGGCCUUUACAAAUAUAUAUAUAUGGAUCUUCUGAGAAGGUUUUUGAGGUGCACAUUUCUCUCUUUUGUUUUUCUCUUGAUUUAUGGACACGAUGCUGAGAUUCAAUCACUACAUGAAACUCCCAGCUGUGAAAACAAAACAAAAAACCCAAAGGGCUGUUUUUUCCACCAGCCCUGGGGAAGCUAUGUGACGGUCGGAGGCCGGUUUCAGAAAGUUUCACCAUUCUUUCCACCCUCUGUUCCUCUCUCUCCUCCAGAAGGAAGUUGAUCCUAGUGAUUUCAGCCCAUGCGUUAAGCAGGAAACAAUAAUAAACGUGUAGAAUUCAUAUUUUUCUAAAGGGAACUUAAAAACUUACGCUGCGUUAUGUACAAAACUGGUUUAUGCCACAUGAACACAGAAUCCCAAGUUCGGUUUGGGUACUUUUCGUUCUGUUUUGCGUUCAGUUGUAUAGUACUUCCAAGUUCAAAAUGAGAAGAAAAAGCUGUUCUGUA